CAGAAGGACCACAGCCAUCGCCCGUCUCCCAUCUCCAAAAUGGCGGAGGCAGCUUCAACCUCACCUCUCGCGAGGAGUUCGUCCUACUGUUUCUGAUUAGCCCUGAGGUCAGAGGUAACGUUCCCUGGCCCCCAUUUCUCGGAUCAUCCAGGUUCCACUGUGAAUCUGAACUAACUGCUUCCUGGCUCCUUCAAUCAAAUUGAGGAGACCAAGAUUGGAGUACAGGUGUCCUUCGUUUGCAAUAUUAUGUAGCGGCCACUUGCCUGCACUUGAAAACUAUGGUCCAGCAAAUCAAACACUUCAGUUCAUACACAUCUGCUGUGAUGUGCUUGAUGCUUUCCCUUAACUAGGAUGGCGGGAGAGAUGACUCAAUGACUUGAAUCCGGGGCACAAUCUCUCUAGAUCUGUCUAUUUGUAAAAUGAGAAUAAGACCUCAUAAGGCUGCCGGGGAAUUAAAUAAAAUA
Long non-coding RNA from Balaenoptera acutorostrata (minke whale), 464 nucleotides. RefSeq lists it as uncharacterized. The transcript has 3 exons. NCBI's taxonomy places the organism in Eukaryota, Metazoa, Chordata, Mammalia, Artiodactyla, Balaenopteridae. The record is from RefSeq and is a predicted model, not a curated record.